GAUGAACGCUGGCGGCGCGCCUAACACAUGCAAGUCGAACGGCACCCCUCCUCGGAGGGAAGCGAGUGGCGAACGGCUGAGUAACACGUGGAGAACCUGCCCCCUCCCCCGGGAUAGCCGCCCGAAAGGACGGGUAAUACCGGAUACCCCGGGGUGCCGCAUGGCACCCCGGCUAAAGCCCCGACGGGAGGGGAUGGCUCCGCGGCCCAUCAGGUAGACGGCGGGGUGACGGCCCACCGUGCCGACAACGGGUAGCCGGGUUGAGAGACCGACCGGCCAGAUUGGGACUGAGACACGGCCCAGACUCCUACGGGAGGCAGCAGUGGGGAAUCUUGCGCAAUGGGGGGAACCCUGACGCAGCGACGCCGCGUGCGGGACGGAGGCCUUCGGGUCGUAAACCGCUUUCAGCAGGGGAGAGUCAAGACUGUACCUGCAGAAGAAGCCCCGGCUAACUACGUG
Molecule: ribosomal RNA, 459 nt
Filed under: uncultured bacterium
Lineage: Bacteria
Description: partial 16S ribosomal RNA
Rfam family: Bacterial small subunit ribosomal RNA
Source: RNAcentral